GACGAACGCUGGCUGCGUGCUUAACACAUGCAAGUCGAACGCUGAAGCCGACAGCUUGCUGUUGGUGGAUGAGUGGCGAACGGGUGAGUAACACGUGAGUAACCUGCCCCUGAUUUCGGGAUAAGCCUGGGAAACUGGGUCUAAUACCGGAUACGACCACGGAACGCAUGUUUCGUGGUGGAAAGUUUUUCGAUCGGGGAUGGGCUCGCGGCCUAUCAGCUUGUUGGUGGGGUAAUAGCCUACCAAGGCGACGAGGGGUAGCCGGCCUGAGAGGGCGACCGGCCACACUGGGACUGAGACACGGCACAGGCUCCUACGGGAGGCAGCAGUGGGGAAUAUUGCACAAUGGGGGAAACCCUGAUGCAGCGACGCAGCGUGCGGGAUGACGGCCUUCGGGUUGUAAACCGCUUUCAGCAGGGAAGAAGCGAAAGUGACGGUACCUGCAGAAGAAGUACCGGCUAACUACGUGCCAGCCGCCGCCGUAA
Molecule: ribosomal RNA, 485 nt
Filed under: uncultured bacterium
Lineage: Bacteria
Description: partial 16S ribosomal RNA
Rfam family: Bacterial small subunit ribosomal RNA
Source: RNAcentral